GCGGAGGAAAAGAAACCAACAGGGAUUGCCCUAGUAACGGCGAGUGAAGCGGCAACAGCUCAAAAUUUGAAAGCUGGCCUUCGGGUCCGCAUUGUAAUUUGUAGAGGAUGCUUUGGGUGAAACGCCAGUCUAAGUUCCUUGGAACAGGACGUCAUAGAGGGUGAGAAUCCCGUAUGUGACUGGAAAUGUUAACCUAUGUAAAGCUCCUUCGACGAGUCGAGUUGUUUGGGAAUGCAGCUCUAAAUGGGAGGUAAAUUUCUUCUAAAGCUAAAUAUUGGCGAGAGACCGAUAGCGCACAAGUAGAGUGAUCGAAAGAUGAAAAGCACUUUGGAAAGAGAGUUAAAAAGCACGUGAAAUUGUUGAAAGGGAAGCGCUUGCAAUCAGACUUGUUUAAACUGUUCGGCCGGUCUUCUGACCGGUUUACUCAGUUUGGACAGGCCAGCAUCAGUUUCGGCGGCCGGAUAAAGGCUCUGGGAAUGUGGCCUUCACUUCGGUGAAGGUGUUAUAGCCCAGGGUGUAAUACGGCCAGCCGGGACUGAGGUCCGCGCUUCGGCUAGGAUGCUGGCGUAAUGGUUGUA
RNAcentral lists this ribosomal RNA (578 nucleotides) under Aureobasidium melanogenum. Its description in RNAcentral is "eukaryotic LSU rRNA". It matches the Rfam family "Eukaryotic large subunit ribosomal RNA", at positions 50 to 642 of the family's 3401-position model. The record is from RNAcentral. Lineage: Eukaryota; Fungi; Ascomycota; Dothideomycetes; Dothideales; Saccotheciaceae.